Non-coding RNA from Drosophila melanogaster (fruit fly), 1866 nucleotides. The record is from Ensembl. NCBI's taxonomy places the organism in Eukaryota, Metazoa, Arthropoda, Insecta, Diptera, Drosophilidae.
UAUUUUUUAAGGUAUUUAGUACAUAUUUAUGUAUGCUUCCAAUGAAAGGAGCAGAUUUAACGCAACUUGUCGGUUAUGCAGCAGCUCAGUGCGCAUCCUGCUCAAUCCCAGCCACCCAUCAAUCAUUCCAUUUGGCGGAUCGGAAGGAGGAGCAGGCAGGAAGAGGACCAGAAACAGGAGCAGGAACAGGAACUGGAACAGGAUUAGGAACAGGAGUUCACCCACAUGUGUACGCACACGCGACUAUAUGCAGUGAUAGAUGUGUGUUUGUGUGCGCCUGCUAUUUGUCGCCCUUUGUGAUAGCAAUCAAAUCGAAUCAUAUCCCGUUCCGUCUAUCGACUUCCCACACCCACACCGAAUCCCAAUCCCACACCCAUUCCCUGGCCGUUUUGCCCCGUAAUAGAAUCUCCUGCUGCAGCGUCAAGGUUGUAAAUGUAAUCAUUUGUCUGCUCCACGGACUUUGGUCCUAAUCGAAUUGCCAGACGGCUUGGCUCCCCAAAAGUAAGCAUCCUCAUAGCCAUCUUUGGCCAGGACUACUCACGCUUCUGGUCGCAUUUGUUUUCGCCACACAAAAGCGAAACCAAGUGACAGACGGAGGCGAAUCAAAUCGAAUGAAAGUAUACGUUUCUAUUUGCUUGUGAUUUCUGACUCCACCUAAGGCCCAUCCUCCUCCUCCGCCUCCUGGGUAUGUGUCAAUCACACGGUGGCUUUCAUAAUGAGGUGGAGCAGUCCCAGCCAGUCGAAGAUUUUGCGGCCUGGCAUGGGGAUGUUGUGCAAAGGGACACCACCCCAAGCAUUGCUCAAUCGACUGCGACCGGAUGCCAUCCUCAGUCCUCAGCCCUCAGCCAAAUGGGAUAAAUAUAGCUCUGAGCUGUAGUUAACUCUGAUUGCAAUGGGAUACCACUAAAUCUGGCUGGGGCUGAAUCCAAUGACUUGACAAUGAAAGUGCCCAAAAAAACGUGGCCACAUUUAAGGCACUGUGGUACAGUGGUUCAUAGAAAGACAGCUCUUUCGCUAAUCAUCAAAUAUAAUGCAUGGGCAGAAAGAAGCACAGAAACUGGCCAAAGAUCCAGUUCUGGAUGAGCAUGACCAUCAGCGAGACGGGCAGGACGAGGGCGCACUGGACAAAAUGGCAUAGGGCCAGAUUGAUGAUGAACGCAUGGGUCACAUCCUUGUAAAGUCGAUGGUACAUUAUGUACACCACGAUGAUCACAUUGAGCACCACGCCCAGUAGGGCGAGAGCUGCGUACUGGAUGAGAAACAGCCAAUAGACCGACUUGAUGCUGGACUUUAGGAUGGGACCACUAAGUCGCUCCAUGUCAACCGUGCCAUUGGAAUGCCAGUCGAGGAAGUGCGAGAGUGCCGUCACAUAUUUGUCGGGCACAUCCUUCAUUUUCUCGCCACUGCCGCCGGCAUCUCCUCCGGAUCCACCGCCUCCAUAUCCUCCCAGUCCUCCGCCGCCGCCGCCGCCGCCUCCUCCUCCUCCUCCUCCUCCUGCUCCUCCACUGCUUGCCGCCAACUGGUAGGCAUCCGAUACUCCGACCAAGCGAAGUUGCUCAGCUGGCGACAUCCUCACCACCUGCAAUGGAAAAUCAAGAAGAGAUUGUUCCGUAAAUUAGGCGCACUGUAUUCGGUAUCUAUAAUAGGAAAUCUUUCAGUGAUUGCAGUCUAUAAGAAAACAAUAGCUAAACUAAUUGAUUGUUUAUGGGUAAACCAAUCUGUGUACGCCUAACAAAAAACACAUAUCUCAAACUGAUUGUCUGAUGGUCUGUGAUUUGACGAUCUGAAGUUGGAAAACCUUUGCGCUACCAGAUGGAAAACUGCAGACAUGAGAACAUACAAUGCGUAUACUUAACAAUUUGGCUU